Molecule: long non-coding RNA, 1058 nt
Filed under: Oryctolagus cuniculus (rabbit)
Lineage: Eukaryota; Metazoa; Chordata; Mammalia; Lagomorpha; Leporidae
Description: lncRNA (ENSOCUG00000038873.1)
Source: RNAcentral
UUUAAAUACAAAAGAUGAGUCUUUGAAAGAAUGAUCUUUUCACGCUUUUUGAGCUACUUUCGCCACACAGAAAUUGCCGAGCUAUUCAUCAGCUUGGCUCGUUUGACCCAAAUGAGGAGAAUGAAAAAGACAUAUAUUCUUAGCCUGUGACACCACCGCCUGUCACUUGUCCCCUCCAGGUCAAGAUCUUGAACUGCGAUCUAACAUAAACUGAAAAGGAAGUCAGAGAACCUUCACCUGCUGCAAAAUGUUACUUUAUUUAAAUCUCUACAAUCACAGUCUUGGACCAGUUCAAGCUGACUGGCAGCUGCACUUGAUGAUUUACCUGAGAGCACUGAAGUGAAAAUCCAGCCAGCUAUCACCUUCAAAUGACUGAGGCAGAGGACUGGGGGGAGCAUUUUGAUUUUGUGAUUUAUUUUCCUUUCUGGUCACAGAUAGUGUUUCAUAUCCAAAUCUAGACUUACACACAGAGCUGCAUGGAUGCAGAUGGUCAUAUCUUGUUAAAAUAGGAAAACACUUCCAUACCAGCUGAUAAAUAAUCAGUGCAUUCAGCCCUUGAACAACCACCCUCCAAUCAAAGAUCUUCCCAGAAGUACCCCAGGAGAUUCCCACCAUUCAUCAAAUAAAGAAAUAACCCUGGCAAAGCAGGACUUCUGCAGAACUCUGCCCCAAUACUAAAGCCUACACCACUCUGUUGUUAAAUAUAGCUCCUGAAAUACGAAAGAAGAGAACUUCAGUGGGGUGUUGUUUAUAAAGGAUCAAUUUAAGCAAUAUUCUUUUAUUGGGUGCUUUGGAUCUUUUAGAAAAAUUCAAUGGAAGAUAUUACCUAUUAUGGGUCUAUCGUCUCAUUAUAGAAUUCAGAUGGAGACAGACUAGAAGUAUACACAGCAGAAUGGCAAAAGUUGUAUUUUGUGGUGAUAGGAUUUCAGGUAACUUUUUUUGUAUUUAUUUGUCUGCAGUUUUCAGCUUUUCAAUUAACAGGUGUUAUUUGUGUAAUGAUGAAUUUGUGUAAUAAGAAACACAAAAAAUAAACAUAGCUCACUUAAUGUUUUGUUACA